GCCUUGGAUCUCUGUAGAGGAAAUUGGGUGUUCCAUUUAUAUGCUUGUUUUAAGAGCGUCUAGCUGCUCAGUCGAGACCUCAGCGUCUCCUUGUGCUAAGUGCAAGGAGUCCGGCACUUACUAGCUUCAUGCCCAGUGUCUGGACUGGUGCCAGCCCACACCGAGCAUCCCUAGAAACAUCCAGACUUCUAAACACCAGCUGACAGCAUGCCUCCGCAGUCGGCGGAGCCACGAGAGGAAACAGCUUCCCACCUCCUCGGAUCCAAGAAGAACCAAAUUAAGGUCCUGAUUUGUCCAGCCAACUCAAGUCCACAGAGUUCACAUCCACCUGCACUGCCUACCCAGAUGGCCGACACGCGCCUUGCUCCCACCGCAGGUUCCUACUGGCUGUUUCCGUGUGACUCAGUCCCAGUCCAGAUGACACCCCUUUGCAGAGCACAGACCUCAAAGCUGGUGGCCUUUCUUGUCUAUCUGUACACGGGCAUCCUUCCCGGGAGAUGUUCUGGGUAAGCUCUGGACCGGCCCGCACGUGCGCACCGGGAGCUCGUGACCCCUCCCUUGCUUCAUUCUGAGAGUGGCUAGGGCUCUUGCUGAGCCACCUCUCGUUGUACUCAGACCCUGGUUAGAAGUCACCAGCCCAGUGUGGGGUAGGCCUGCUGGGUGGUACAGCGUGAAGGGUUUCAGGUGAAAGGUAGAGCAAUUCCGACUCUGCUGCUUACACUCUGCGUGGCUUAGACACACCACUUAUAUUCCAGAUGCCUGCUGCCCCUCCACACAGACCACAGCCUUGUCAAGAGCUAGUGACUAUUAGGCUUCCUGGGUCACAGCACCUGAUCUUGCUCCGGUUCUGAUGUUCUUAUACUGCCAUGGAUGAAAAGAGAUAAGCCUUUGGGGGAAGAAUUAUAGCAAGUCUUCAAUCCCAAUGAAAAGGGCCUAAGAGAUCUAGGAGUACACCAUGGACCCCACAUUUAGAAAACAGAGAAGUCCGCAUCCAGUUUGAUACAAUACAAUACAAUACAAUACAAUACGAUAAAAUAAAAUAAAAUAAAAGCUACCAGGACAUAGAACACCUGAUCCUACACAAGCAAGAUAUACAAAUGAGGCCUAGCCUAUCCCACCAGGAUGCUGGCCUUGCCUUGUGCCUGGAGCUGGUACCCACAGUGGCCCAUUCCACAGGAUGCUGGCCGUGCCUUGUGCCUGGAGCUGGUACCCACAGUGACCCAUUCUACAGGAUGCUGGCCGUGCCUUGUGCCUGGAGCUGGUACCCACAGUGGCCCAUUCCACAGGAUGCUGGCCGUGCCUUGUGCCUACAGUCGCACCUGUUCUUUCCCUCAGUGGCUCUAUGCUACAUUUUGGUUAUGAUGCAGUAAUGUCUCCAGCCCAGGGACCUGCCACAAGGGUGGCACAUGGCUAUAGAGAUAUGAUAAGAUAAAAACAAGGACCGUGGCCAUCCUAUGAGCCAGGACAAAGAGGAAUGCAGGAACGAACUUAAGGCUACAGAAUGACCCACAGUAGC
Molecule: long non-coding RNA, 1516 nt
Organism: Mus pahari (shrew mouse)
Lineage: Eukaryota; Metazoa; Chordata; Mammalia; Rodentia; Muridae
Exons: 4
Source: RefSeq, a predicted model, not a curated record